AACGCGAAGAACCUUACCAGCCUUUGACAUCCCGGUCGCGGGCACCAGAGAUGGAGCCCUUCAGUUCGGCUGGACCGGAGACAGGUGCUGCAUGGCUGUCGUCAGCUCGUGUCGUGAGAUGUUGGGUUAAGUCCCGCAACGAGCGCAACCCUCGCCCUUAGUUGCCAUCAUUUAGUUGGGCACUCUAAGGGGACUGCCGGUGAUAAGCCGCGAGGAAGGUGGGGAUGACGUCAAGUCCUCAUGGCCCUUACAGGCUGGGCUACACACGUGCUACAAUGGCGGUGACAAUGGGAUGCAAUGGGGAGACCCUGCGCAAAUCUCAAAAAGCCGUCUCAGUUCGGAUUGUGCUCUGCAACUCGAGCACAUGAAGUUGGAAUCGCUAGUAAUCGCAGAUCAGCACGCUGCGGUGAAUACGUUCCCGGGCCUUGUA
This 430-nucleotide ribosomal RNA is filed under the name uncultured Alphaproteobacteria bacterium. RNAcentral's name for it is "bacterial SSU rRNA". It matches the Rfam family "Bacterial small subunit ribosomal RNA", at positions 958 to 1385 of the family's 1533-position model. Lineage: Bacteria; Pseudomonadati; Pseudomonadota; Alphaproteobacteria. The record is from RNAcentral.